AUUGAACGCUGGCGACAUGCCUUACACAUGCAAGUCGAACGGCAGCACGGGAGCAAUCCUGGUGGCGAGUGGCGAACGGGUGAGUAGUACAUCGGAACGUGCCUAGUAGUGGGGGAUAGCCCGGCGAAAGCCGGAUUAAUACCGCAUACGACCUGAGGGUGAAAGCGGGGGAUCGCAAGACCUCGCGCUAUCAGAGCGGCCGAGGCCAGAUUAGGUAGUUGGUGGGGUAAAAGCCUACCAAGCCGACGAUCUGUAGCUGGUCUGAGAGGACGACCAGCCACACUGGGACUGAGACACGGCCCAGACUCCUACGGGAGGCAGCAGUGGGGAAUUUUGGACAAUGGGCGCAAGCCUGAUCCAGCCAUGCCGCGUGCAGGAAGAAGGCCUUCGGGUUGUAAACUGCUUUUGUCAGGGAAGAAAAGUUCUGGGCUAAUACCCCGGAGCGAUGACGGUACCUGAAGAAUAAGCACCGGCUAACUACGUGCCAGCCGCCGCAGUAA
This 500-nucleotide ribosomal RNA is filed under the name uncultured bacterium. Its description in RNAcentral is "partial 16S ribosomal RNA". It matches the Rfam family "Bacterial small subunit ribosomal RNA", at positions 29 to 523 of the family's 1533-position model. The record is from RNAcentral.